Molecule: long non-coding RNA, 410 nt
Filed under: Drosophila guanche
Lineage: Eukaryota; Metazoa; Arthropoda; Insecta; Diptera; Drosophilidae
Source: RNAcentral
GGAGGAGAGUUAAUAUAGAAGAAUGCAUAUGAAUAAAUGGUUGAAUAAGAGAUGGAUGGAUGGAUGGCUAAAAAGAUGAAUAGUGCAGAGGGUAUUUCGUAUUCGUUUCUUUGCACUCACUUCAAGGGCUUUGCUAAACGCACUUCCCACACAGAUUUGUGUGUGUGCGCCUUAAUUGGGGCGUAGGUCGCUUUGGGCUCCGGUUUUGACUCUGGGUUUGGGUAAUUGCUGCCACUUGAAAGGGCUUUUGGUCACAUAAUCGCCUUGUCAGAUAGAGCAAGACACACGGAGAGACGCAGGGAGGAGUGACGAACAAGCUAGCUGGGCGAUGGGCGUUGGGCGUUGGGCGUUGCAUGAUGGGUGGGCCCAGGACCAGUAGCAGCAGCAGUGGCUGUGGCAGUGUCAGGUCC